ACACAUAACAACUUGUGUCAUAAUCAUCAUUGUGCAUACAAAUGAAAAGUCAAUAUAUAUUGUGUCAUACAUUUUUAGCCAUAAUAUUUGAUGACAUGAUGAUCAGUUGUCAUAUAUUUUUUGUGCAUAUAGGUUUUAAUUAUAAUGAAUCAAAUGUCAUACCAGCUAAAAGCAUAUUUAUCGAUACUUACAAUGUUUUUACGUAUAACGUUUUAAAGCAUAAUAAUUUAUAAUCAUAAUGGUUUAAGGCAUACUUAGUUAUUGAUAGCCGUAUAUACACCUUCCU
Long non-coding RNA from Cydia strobilella, 286 nucleotides. RefSeq lists it as uncharacterized. The record is from RefSeq and is a predicted model, not a curated record. NCBI's taxonomy places the organism in Eukaryota, Metazoa, Arthropoda, Insecta, Lepidoptera, Tortricidae. The transcript is spliced from 2 exons.